CCUACGGGUGGCAGCAGUGGGGAAUAUUGGACAAUGGGGGGAACCCUGAUCCAGCGACGCCGCGUGAGUGAAGAAGUACUUCGGUAUGUAAAGCUCUAUCAGCAGGGAAGAAAAUGACGGUACCUGACCAAGAAGCCCCGGCUAACUACGUGCCAGCAGCCGCGGUAAUACGUAGGGGGCAAGCGUUUUCCGGAGUUACUGGGUGUAAAGGGGGCGUAGACGGUGCAGCAAGUCUGAUGUGAAAGGUCGGGGCCCAACCCCGGGACUGCAUUGGAAACUGUUGAACUGGAGUGCAGGAGGGGUAGGCGGAAUUCCUGGUGUAGCGGUGAAAUGCGUAGAUAUUAGGAGGAACACCAGUGGCGAAGGCGGCUUGCUGGACUGUAACUGACGUUGAGGCUCGAAAGCGUGGGGAGCAAACAGGAUUAGAUACCCUGGUAGUC
RNAcentral lists this ribosomal RNA (440 nucleotides) under uncultured bacterium. RNAcentral's name for it is "partial 16S ribosomal RNA". It matches the Rfam family "Bacterial small subunit ribosomal RNA", at positions 338 to 795 of the family's 1533-position model. The record is from RNAcentral.